AACGCGAAGAACCUUACCAGCUCUUGACAUCCCAAGACCGCCACGGAGACGUGGUUUUCCCUUCGGGGACUUGGAGACAGGUGCUGCAUGGCUGUCGUCAGCUCGUGUCGUGAGAUGUUGGGUUAAGUCCCGCAACGAGCGCAACCCUCGCCCUUAGUUGCCAGCAUUCAGUUGGGCACUCUAGGGGGACUGCCGGUGAUAAGCCGAGAGGAAGGUGGGGAUGACGUCAAGUCCUCAUGGCCCUUACGGGCUGGGCUACACACGUGCUACAAUGGCGGUGACAGUGGGCAGCUACUUGGGGAGGAGAAGCUAAUCCCAAAAAGCCGUCUCAGUUCGGAUUGCACUCUGCAACUCGAGUCCAUGAAGUCGGAAUCGCUAGUAAUCGCGUAACAGCA
This 395-nucleotide ribosomal RNA is filed under the name uncultured bacterium. RNAcentral's name for it is "bacterial SSU rRNA". It matches the Rfam family "Bacterial small subunit ribosomal RNA", at positions 958 to 1354 of the family's 1533-position model. The record is from RNAcentral.